Molecule: long non-coding RNA, 2482 nt
Filed under: Salmo salar (Atlantic salmon)
Lineage: Eukaryota; Metazoa; Chordata; Actinopteri; Salmoniformes; Salmonidae
Description: lncRNA (ENSSSAG00000116572.1)
Source: RNAcentral
CCCACCUCAUACACGAUUACUUCAACUACAUAAACACAACCCACCUCAUACACGAUUACUUCAACUACAUAAACACAACCCUCCUCAUACACGAUUACUUCAACUACAUAAACACAACCCACCUCAUACACGAUUACUUCAACUACAUAAACACAACCCUCCUCAUACACGAUUACUUCAACUACAUAACACAACCCUCCUCAUACACGAUUACUUCAACUACAUAAACACAACCCACCUCAUACCCGAUUACUUCAACUACAUAAACACAACCCACCUCAUACACGAUUACUUCAACUACAUAAACACAACCCACCUCAUACACGAUUACUUCAAAUGUCAUCAUGGUUUGAUUGGCAAGGAGGACUACAGAGGAAACCAAUCUGUAUCCAUUCAAAAUGUGGAUUACAAAAAGUUGCAGGCACUUCCGACAUCCCCUAAGACUUACGUACUUUUGUAACAUCCUUAAACGUAUCAUUAAAAAGUUUGAUCGGGGUUGUAAGUAUUCAAGUAAAUAUCCUUGGGAAACUGAUGAUGAUCAAUGUGGAAUGUAAAAAAAAAAAUGCAAGUACAAAAAGUACAAUCAACCUUCAUUUGCAGGAGAAAAGUGAAAGUGGAAAACAUUGCACUUAGCUAAAUCUCAGCAGAACACUUGCAUAAAUAUGCUGCAUAAUCAGCCAGAAUAAGAAAACACCUGUCGUCCUUCCAAGCUACUACUUUCCAUCACCAUUAAUCAAUACAUUUUCCCUACUUCUCCUUCAUAUUUAACAAUCACCAGCUGUUUCUCUUGUCAGUAUUCUCAGAAUGUUUUGAGUCUUUCAUACGCUUGGCCUGCCUGAGGAACUGGUCUGCUUUCCUCAGCUUCUCCAUGGCUCUGGCUAGCAGCUCCUCCGGCGACCUGUCCUCCAGGCCAUCACCCCCCGCUAGGGCCAAGUUCUGCCCAACCUCGGUGCUCCCUUUAGGGACGACGCUCCCCAGGAGCUCCCCUGUAUUUUCCAGCUCCAGGGCCACUUCAUUUUCAAGGUCUGUUAAGUCUUGAGGACCCACGGUGGCCUUUGUCACGGCCACGUCUGUGAUUCGCUGUUUCACGUUUUCACCCAAUGAGGCCUCAGAGAGGAGAUCCCCCAAAGAGGUGGACAUGAGCUUGGCUAAGGGUUUGAAGGGGAUGGGGGGACAAUGGGAGGCCUGACUGACCCUCACCUGGAGGAAGGUGGAGUGUAGGCCAGAGGGAUUGUCCUGGGGGGUCUGGGUCGUAGAAGGGGAGUCCUCCACAGUGCUGAGUCCCAAGCUGUCGGGGGUCUCCGUGUCUCCGUCUUGACUCUCGUCCAUCAGCGCGUCCAGGCCAGCUUGGCUGCCCAUUAGGGCAGCGGUGGAGGCCGCCAAAGUGUCCCUGCUCUCUGACCAUUCUUCAUCGACAUCGAUGUCCGAGUGUUGGCCGCUGUCGACUGACUUCUCCUCCUCACGCUCACUCUUCUUUUCUGGGGAGAGGUGGCAGGACACGGGGCUGGAGCAGGAGCUGUCUGGCUCAGGGUCACUCAGAGAGAGAACUACGACUGGGAACUCAGACUUAGUCUCAACGACCACAGGAACUUUCAGGGCCUCUGUUUCUUCAGUCGGACUGGUUGUGGUCAGCGCGGCUGGUGUUGGUGAAGUGAUAGAGUUGAGUUUCUCUCCUGGUGUGGUGGUGGUGAUGUUCUUGGUUUUGUCUGUCGCUUGGUUCUUAGGCUCGCUUAGGUGGACGUCUUGAGCCACCACCACUGCUUUGGGAGGAGGGAGGACGACGGGCUUCUUCUUUGUGGGAGGUCCGGGAGGGCCAGGGCUCUUUUUGAUUGGCUCCGGUGUCUGAACUGACGGCGUUACUGUGAGUUGGGAAGACUUCAUUGUCUGAGGUUCUUCAUUGGGUGAUAUAUCCACUCCACCACUAGGGUCAGAAUCUUGUUCUUGAGCCAUGGGCUCGGAAACUUUCUGCGUCUCUUCUUCUAUGGUGGUGGUGGCGACCUCUGGGUGGUCAGUCACAGAGGGUUCAACUUUGACCUCUAGGGGGGUCAUGGGUGUUGUAAUCUGAGAGGAAGAAGACUCCUCCUCAUCCUCAGCCCCCUCAGGGAUACUGCUUUGUUGAACGUCAGAUGCAAUCAUUUCAGAACCCUCUUCCUCCUUCUCCUCUACCUCAUCCUCUUCACCUUUCUUCCUUCUCCCACUAGCCUCCUCUGUACCCUCCUGCACGGCUGUCUGAGUGGGCUUCUUGUCUUUGGAUGGUGGGGUGGGCGGCCUGUGUUCCUGGCUGGUUUGGGAGGCCUCGGCCAUGUUGUCUGUGGAGCCGCCGAUGGGUUUUCCGGGAGGGGUGGGCGGUGGUGCUGACUCGACCCCAGCCUCGAAGCACUGCUCUGGGCUGCCCUCGGGGCUGGUGUUCCUGGGGGGUUGGUCUCCGGCUGGAGCAGCGGGCUUGGCCUCUUUGGAGGGUGGCAUGGGCAUCUUCAGGACC